This 319-nucleotide ribosomal RNA is filed under the name uncultured bacterium. RNAcentral's name for it is "bacterial SSU rRNA". It matches the Rfam family "Bacterial small subunit ribosomal RNA", at positions 86 to 422 of the family's 1533-position model. The record is from RNAcentral.
GCAAGGUGAGUGGCAGACGGGUGAGUAACGCGUGGGAACCUUCCCUUUGGUACGGAAUAACUUCGGGAAACCGAAGCUAAUACCGUAUAAGUCCUUCGGGAGAAAGAUUUAUCGCCAAAGGAUGGGCCCGCGUUGGAUUAGCUAGUUGGUAGGGUAAAGGCCUACCAAGGCAACGAUCCAUAGCUGGUCUGAGAGGAUGAUCAGCCACACUGGGACUGAGACACGGCCCAGACUCCUACGGGAGGCAGCAGUGGGGAAUAUUGGACAAUGGGCGCAAGCCUGAUCCAGCCAUGCCGCGUGAGUGAAGAAGGCCUUAGGG